AAACACUAUACAAUUGUUAUCUUCUAAAGCUUCCAGUGCUUCACACUGGAUCCUUUCUUUUUGUAGUAUUUACUAGUUUAUUAUUCAGAUAUAUAGCAUUAUUUCUUCAGCACACAAGAACCUGGUCAAAUACCCAUGGAUUUAAUUUUGGUUUCAAAACUUAGCUAAUUGUUUGAAAAAAGAGAGAAUUUGUAAAGGGGAUAGAUAG
Molecule: unclassified non-coding RNA, 208 nt
Filed under: Hevea brasiliensis (rubber tree)
Lineage: Eukaryota; Viridiplantae; Streptophyta; Magnoliopsida; Malpighiales; Euphorbiaceae
Source: RNAcentral